Molecule: ribosomal RNA, 497 nt
Filed under: uncultured bacterium
Lineage: Bacteria
Description: partial 16S ribosomal RNA
Rfam family: Bacterial small subunit ribosomal RNA
Source: RNAcentral
GAUGAACGCUGGCGGCGUGCCUAAUACAUGCAAGUCGAGCGAACAGACGAGGAGCUUGCUCCUCGGACGUUAGCGGCGGGCGGGUGAGUAACACGUGGAUAACCUACCUAUAAGACUGAGAUAACUUCGGGAAACCGGAGCUAAUACCGGAUAAUCUAUUGAACCGUGUUGUUCAAUAGUGAGAGUCGGUGUUGCUGUCACUUCUAGAUGGAUCCGCGCCGCAUUAUCUGGUUGGGAAGGUAACAGCUUACCAAGGCAACGAUGCGUAGCCGACCUGCGGGGCGGAUCGGCGACACUGGAAGUGAGACACGGUCAAGACUCCUAAGGGAGGCAGCAGUAGGGAAUGGUCCGCAAUAGGCGAAAGUAUGACGGAGAAACGCAGCGUCAGUGAUGAAAGGCUUCGGAUCGUAAAACUCUGUUAUUAGGGAAGAACAAAUGUGUAAGUAAAUAUGCACGUCUUGACGGUAACGAAUAAGAAAGCCACGGCUAACUACGUG